RNAcentral lists this long non-coding RNA (1503 nucleotides) under Triticum aestivum (bread wheat). RNAcentral's name for it is "long non-coding RNA (TAES_LNC016843)". Lineage: Eukaryota; Viridiplantae; Streptophyta; Magnoliopsida; Poales; Poaceae. The record is from RNAcentral.
UCGCUCAUUCCAGUUGCUUUUUUGCAAUCUUGAUAAACACAUGAAAAUGGCAUGUUACAAGAAGCCACACUAUAAAUUUUGGAAGAGCUAAAUAAAUGACACUCAAAUACAAUGAGAUUAGGACAUCUUCGUCGAGCUUCGGUCAUUCAUUGCAAUUUAUAAAAGAAAAAACAGGACACUGAUCAUAACAAAAACUAAAAACCAAAGAAAAAACAGGACACCGAUCAAGGUUGACGACGCCCGCACCCGAGCCGCCAGCCUCGUCGUUGUUGGCGGCCAACGCCAAACCCGCGGAGCACGACAAUACAACAAUACAUAGUCAUUCAAAUAACCGCAAAAUGAGAUAAACUGAGGGUACCUAUGUGAUUUCCCGGAAUUGAUCCCUAGAAAUAUCCAAUUGAAUUGCUUGGGGAGCUUUAUGAUACACCACCAUAGUGAGAUCUGUCGAUUUGCCCAUGUGGACGCUGGAUGUAGAGGGAAACCAUGCCUGCUCAAGUCCCAUUCCAAAGGAUGCAUUGGACUGUAAAAAGAACACAUAUGAGAAUGAAAUGCACCGUCAUUGCGUUUCUUUUGACAAACUUUGCAAAAGUUGCAUCAAGCCACCUAUUUUAAGUUUUUAACAUGCCACUUUUUGUAACCAAACUCAAAUAACACUGUUGUUCAAAUAUGAGAAAAGUUAUAGAUUAAUGAUUAAAAAAAGCUUGUUUUCUUGAAAAGUGUAUCAAACUUCUAGGAGAAGGCUAUACAAUAUUUUACUAAACUCAAUACUUUCAGGCCGUUUUUUUAAAUCAAUGCAUCCCUCAUCGAGUCAUAUUUUCUAGUACCCCCUACAAAUUCUUUAAAGAAUAGUACAACAUGACAUAGUAAUGCAAUGCCUAGAGUUAAACCUAUCAACUUUGGCAUGUACAUACUUGAAUUUGUACCAUUGUUCCUGCCAUCUUCUGUUACAUAGUUAUAACUGAAUUACUAUGCAAUCAUUGUUACUGAAACAAUACAUAAGAACAUGCAGUCUGCAUGUCAAGUUUUCUCUAAGAAUAAAUUUAGGUACACGUCACAAUAAAACCAGAGUAGUGAUUGUUCAACAGAAAACUGGUAGUUCACUUUGUUUCCUAUAUCCAGUUGCCUCUAGUAAGAUUUUUACUGCAAGCAAAAAAACAUGGAACAAAUCUGAAUUAGAUUCAUAAUUAAAAUCUGCAGAUUUGGAAAUAAAAAAACAGGGACCAUUAUAACAGAACAUGGAAACUAAGAAGUAGUUCUUAUUCGAACAACUUAGAUUGGUGAUUGUGUACUGAGAGGGCGAAUGGCGAGUCCAUACAAGCCAAUCUCCUUACCGUUCGUUGAGUUCUCUAAGAUUGGCGAUUGUAUUUGCGGCAUACCAUUUGAUGUAUGGUAUGACAGCAUGAUGAUCUACCUUGUUCUGGAUAAGUGGGUCUCUUCACUUUAUAUUUUGGUGGUACCGUUCGGCUUCUCAAUGAUGACCACGAUAAUGUUAACUUUGAUGGA